GAUAAGAACGCAGCGAAAUGCGAUAAGUAAUGUGAAUUGCAGAAUUCAGUGAAUCAUCGAAUCUUUGAACGCACAUUGCGCCCGCCAGUAUUCUGGCGGGCAUGCCUGUUCGAGCGUCAUUACAACCCUCAGGCCCCCGGGCCUGGCGUUGGGGAUCGGCAGAAGCCCCCUGUGGGCACACGCCGUCCCUCAAAUACAGUGGCGGUCCCGCCGCAGCUUCCAUUGCGUAGUAGCUAACACCUCGCAACUGGAGAGCGGCGCGGCCAUGCCGUAAAACACCCAACUUCUGAAUGUUGACCUCGAAUCAGGUAGGAAUACCCGCUGAACUUAAGCAUAUCAAUAAGCGGAGGA
Molecule: unclassified non-coding RNA, 351 nt
Filed under: soil metagenome
Description: partial contains 5.8S ribosomal RNA, internal transcribed spacer 2, and large subunit ribosomal RNA
Rfam family: 5.8S ribosomal RNA (bases 4-119)
Source: RNAcentral